GAAAAAGUAGUCUUGAGGUGAGAUACAAGAUUGGCAGUCAGGCAUUCUGGGUUUGAUUCCCAGCUACUUCA
Molecule: non-coding RNA, 71 nt
Organism: Chelonia mydas (Green sea turtle)
Lineage: Eukaryota; Metazoa; Chordata; Testudines; Cheloniidae
Source: Rfam